This 464-nucleotide ribosomal RNA is filed under the name uncultured bacterium. RNAcentral's name for it is "partial 16S ribosomal RNA". It matches the Rfam family "Bacterial small subunit ribosomal RNA", at positions 28 to 507 of the family's 1533-position model. The record is from RNAcentral.
GAUGAACGCUGGCGGCGUGCCUAAGACAUGCAAGUCGAACGGAAAGGCCCAGCGUGUUGGGUGCUGGAGUGGGGAACGGGCGAGUAAGACGGGGGUGAUCUGCCCCUAACUACGGCAUAAGCUCGGGAAGCUGGGGCUAAUACAGGAUAGGGGAAUGGUUUAGGGGCGGUGGUGGAAAGUUGGUUCGGGUAGGGCUGGGCCCGCUGCCUAUCAGCUUGCUGGGGGGGCUAUGGCCUACCAAGGCGUCGAGGGGUAGCCGGCCUGCGAGGGUGGACGGCCACAUUGGGACUGAGGUACGGCCCAGCAUCCUACGGGCGGCACCGGUGGGAAGUAUUGCGCACCGGGCGCGAGCCUGUUCCGGCGGCGCCGCGUGGGGAAUGACUGGCUCCGGGUGGUGACCCUCUUUGGACGGGAACGUCGCCUUGGUGACGGUACCUGUAUAGAAAGCACCGGCUAACUACGUG